CCUACGGGAGGCAGCAGUGGGGAAUUUUGCGCAAUGGGGGGAACCCUGACGCAGCAACGCCGCGUGCGGGACGAAGGCCUUCGGGUUGUAAACCGCUUUCAGCAGGGAAGACAUAGACGGUACCUGCAGAAGAAGCUCCGGCUAACUACGUGCCAGCAGCCGCGGUAAUACGUAGGGGGCGAGCGUUAUCCGGAUUCAUUGGGCGUAAAGCGCGCGUAGGCGGCCGCCUAAGCGGAACCUCUAAUCCCGGGGCUCAACCUCGGGCCGGGUUCCGGACUGGGCGGCUCGAGUGCGGUAGAGGCAGGCGGAAUUCCCGGUGUAGCGGUGGAAUGCGCAGAUAUCGGGAAGAACACCGAUGGCGAAGGCAGCCUGCUGGGCCGCCACUGACGCUGAGGCGCGAAAGCUGGGGGAGCGAACAGGAUUA
RNAcentral lists this ribosomal RNA (424 nucleotides) under uncultured Paraprevotella sp. RNAcentral's name for it is "bacterial SSU rRNA". It matches the Rfam family "Bacterial small subunit ribosomal RNA", at positions 338 to 780 of the family's 1533-position model. The record is from RNAcentral. Lineage: Bacteria; Pseudomonadati; Bacteroidota; Bacteroidia; Bacteroidales; Prevotellaceae.